CACACAAAAAAAACUGCUGAACCUCUGAUCUGAACUUUCCCUAAAACAAAACAGAGAGAAGCGGAGAAGGCCGCCGCCCGCCGCUACCCUUGCCGGUCGGCGGCGCCGAGCUCGCGGGAUACCUAACUGCGAUUCUUGCUCUCCUACGCGCUCCGCGUCUCCGCCGGCAGAUUGCGUGCGACAUGGACGACUUCCGGUUGAUUGCUAGUGAGUGACGCCUGGAGUGUGUUUUGCACAAUGGGACAAUCAAACACACAAAUGGUGGACAGUAACGGAUUGGGCAUGUGUGCUUGUUGACCAGCUCACCAUUCAUGUGACCGACUAAAGUACCUCAUUUAUACCUUCUGAGGUUCCAGACUGGCUGAUGGAUCAAGCUCAGCCCGACAUAAGCUUCCUCUACUUCAUGCAUGAUCGAUUAAGUGAAGACCACUGCCUAUCAAUGAAGAUAUGGGUAAUGCGAUGUUUGGAAUAUUAUUUCUGACAAUGAUAAAUGCUUCUUAUGAAGAUACUGGUGUGCUAUCAGGUCAGCCAAUGUUGUCUGCAAGAAUGCUUGCACCAUGGGUUGAUCCUUUCCAACUAGCUGGGGAAUAUGCGAACUUGAUAUUGAAAUUGGCAGCAGUAAGCACAUUCUGGCCGGUUUAGUUCUUCGUACCCUUAAUGUUGCAGCCUGAGAUCUCGACACUUACGCAUUCACAUGAGUAUCAUCAAUUUCGCCAAUACAAUCAUGUGAUGACAUGAACAAAUAAUUAUGUCCACACAAAUACAAUCUAUACAAUUAUGUCACAAUCUAUAUAAUUAUGUGAUGACAUGAACAAGUAGUCAUGCUCACACCAAUGCAAUCUUGUGAUGACAUUAACAAACAAUACUAGUCACCUUGACAGGUGGACACCAUCUUGGGCUCAUUUGUAUCUUUGAUGGAGUUUUACCGGUUUGUGGCUUAUCACCUCUCCGAGGUCUCCAAUAGCUGGAUGUUGUCUAUGUGGAUCUCCUGAAUGUCAAAACUAAACCUCUGGUUAUGACCUACAACAUGAAAGAACAUUGCUACUUGCUCUUCCACAGUGGUGUGGAUGUUAUCUUGUACCAAAAGCAUGUCCCUAAGCGUCUUCACAACCUGGUAAAAAUGGGCUCUUUUCAUCAGAAGCAUGUUGACAACUUCUACAUCAUUGCAGUUGUAAAUUUAGUUCAUAUUUGCAUGCCUAUCGGGUCAACAUUGGAUCAUACGUGAUCACAAACUUGACAUUGCGUUGAACAUCUCUCUUGUGGACCAAAAGAAGCUAAGAUCUCACAAUUAUGAGUGUUGCUGCCUGUAUGAUAGCUUCAUCGGUGCUUCCUAACAU
Lolium perenne is the source of this 1337-nucleotide long non-coding RNA. RefSeq lists it as uncharacterized. The record is from RefSeq and is a predicted model, not a curated record. NCBI's taxonomy places the organism in Eukaryota, Viridiplantae, Streptophyta, Magnoliopsida, Poales, Poaceae.